AACGAACGCUGGCGGCGUGCCUAACACAUGCAAGUCGAACGGAAUUGAGGGGCUUGCUCUUCAAUUUAGUGGCGCGCGGGUGAGUAACGCGUGGAUAAUCUGCCUGACGAUCUGGGAUAACAUCUCGAAAGGGGUGCUAAUACCGGAUAAGCCCACGGGAACUUCGGUUUUUGCGGGAAAGGGGGGGGACCUUUUGGCCUUCUGUCGUCAGAUGAGUCCGCGUACCGUUAGCUAGUUGGUAGGGUAAAGGCCUACCAAGGCUACGAUGGUUAGCUGGUUUGAGAGAAUGAUCAGCCACACUGGAACUGAGACACGGUCCAGACUCCUACGGGAGGCAGCAGUGGGGAAUUUUGCGCAAUGGGCGAAAGCCUGACGCAGCAACGCCGCGUGAGUGAUGAAGGCUUUCGGGUCGUAAAGCUCUGUCAGAGGGAAAGAAGUGUAUUGUGGCUAAUAUCCGCGAUACUUGACGGUACCCUCAAAGGAAGCACCGGCUAACUCCGUGCCAGCCGCCGCUGUAA
Molecule: ribosomal RNA, 518 nt
Filed under: uncultured bacterium
Lineage: Bacteria
Description: partial 16S ribosomal RNA
Rfam family: Bacterial small subunit ribosomal RNA
Source: RNAcentral